This is a ribosomal RNA of Erinaceus europaeus (western European hedgehog), 109 nucleotides long. Lineage: Eukaryota; Metazoa; Chordata; Mammalia; Eulipotyphla; Erinaceidae. The record is from Ensembl.
GUCUAUAGCCAUACCACCCUGAACACACCUGAUCUCAUCUGACCUCAGAAGAUAAGCAGGGUUGGGUCUGGUUAGUACUUGGAUGGGAGAAAAAAUGAAAUUGUAUUGU